AAGCUCGUAGUUGAAUUUCGGGAUUAGUACGUCGGUCGUGCCUUAGGUACGUACUGGUGUUACUGGUUCCUACCUUCUGACGAACCAUCAUGUCAUUAAUUUGGUGUGGUGGGGAAUCAGGACAGUUACUUUGAAAAAAUUAGAGUGUUUAAAGCAGGCUCGCGCUUGAAUACAUUAGCAUGGAAUAAUGAAAUAGGACGUUGAUCCUAUUUUGUUGGUUUCUAGGAUUGACGUAAUGAUUAAUAGGGAUAGUUGAG
This 257-nucleotide ribosomal RNA is filed under the name uncultured Glomus. RNAcentral describes it as "partial 18S ribosomal RNA". It matches the Rfam family "Eukaryotic small subunit ribosomal RNA", at positions 624 to 886 of the family's 1831-position model. The record is from RNAcentral. Lineage: Eukaryota; Fungi; Glomeromycota; Glomeromycetes; Glomerales; Glomeraceae.